Molecule: ribosomal RNA, 473 nt
Filed under: uncultured bacterium
Lineage: Bacteria
Description: bacterial SSU rRNA
Rfam family: Bacterial small subunit ribosomal RNA
Source: RNAcentral
UGGGGAAUUGUUCACAAUGGGCGCAAGCCUGAUGACGCAACGCCGCGUGGGGGAUGAAGGUCUUCGGAUCGUAAACCCCUGUCGAAUGGGACGAAAGACUCGCGAGUGAAUACUUCGCGAGAGUGACGGUACCGUUAAAGGAAGCCACGGCUAACUCUGUGCCAGCAGCCGCGGUAAUACAGAGGUGGCAAGCGUUGUUCGGAAUUACUGGGCGUAAAGGGCGCGUAGGCGGCCCUCUAAGUCAGACGUGAAAUCCCCCGGCUUAAUCUGGGAACUGCGUCUGAUACUGGAGGGCUUGAGUAUGGGAGAGGGAUGUAGAAUUCCAGGUGUAGCGGUGAAAUGCGUAGAUAUCUGGAGGAAUACCGGUGGCGAAGGCGGCAUCCUGGACCAUUACUGACGCUGAGGCGCGAAAGCUAGGGGAGCAAACGGGAUUAGAUACCCGGGUAGUCCCUGAGCGGGCUGGCAAGGCGCAU